RNAcentral lists this ribosomal RNA (253 nucleotides) under uncultured bacterium. Its description in RNAcentral is "partial 16S ribosomal RNA". It matches the Rfam family "Bacterial small subunit ribosomal RNA", at positions 524 to 776 of the family's 1533-position model. The record is from RNAcentral.
UACAGAGGUCCCAAGCGUUGUUCGGAUCCAUUGGGCGUAAAGGGUGCGUAGGUGGCGCCGUAAGUCGGGUGUGAAAUUUCGGAGCUUAACUCCGAAACUGCAUUCGAUACUGCGGUGCUUGAGGACUGGAGAGGAGACUGGAAUUCAUGGUGUAGCAGUGAAAUGCGUAGAGAUCAUGAGGAAGACCAGUGGCGAAGGCGGGUCUCUGGACAGUUCCUGACACUGAGGCACGAAGGCCAGGGGAGCAAACGGG